UACGGAGGGUGCAAACGUUGCUCGGAAUUAUUGGGCGUAAAGCGCACGUAGGCGGCCGAUUAAGUCGGGUGUGAAAGCCCAGGGCUCAACCCUGGAAGUGCACUCGAAACUGGACGGCUUGAAUAUGGAAGAGGGUUGCGGAAUUCCCGGUGUAGAGGUGAAAUGCGUAGAUAUCGAGAGGAACACCUGCGGCGAAGGCGGGUUGCUGGGCUGACACUGACGCUGAGGCGCGAAAGCGUGGGGAGCAAACAGG
RNAcentral lists this ribosomal RNA (253 nucleotides) under uncultured bacterium. RNAcentral's name for it is "partial 16S ribosomal RNA". It matches the Rfam family "Bacterial small subunit ribosomal RNA", at positions 524 to 776 of the family's 1533-position model. The record is from RNAcentral.